UUUCAGAUUAAGUUUUAAAUAUCUCCUAAUAAGAAUGUGUUAGAGAGUAACUGAAAGAGCUAGAGAAAUGUUUUACUGAUUUCUGGCUCUCAGAUGAGGCUGUCUGCAUGGACCCAUGCAUGGCAGGGUAAGCUGUUAAGCAGGGAUGGAAGGAGGAAUCAAAGAGAAAGCAUUGUCAGGCCAGCAUCUUGUUCAAGGUAAAACUGAUGUUCAAAGUUUCAAAAUUGAAAAGCUAAAGGUCUUAGGGAAGAAAAAUAAAGAAUCCUGAGAUCAGGAACAGAAAGAAGAGGAAAAAUAAAAAACAAAACAAACAAACAAACAGGAAAAAUCAAGAUAAAAGGACAUGGAACUGAAAGAACUGGAAAAAAAUAGGAGAAGCUGGUCCUUAUGCUGGUAAGGACAACAGGCUUUGCAUCCCGAGAACAAUUAUAAAAUUAACGAUCUGCUACUACACACUGUGUUUCCUGGAGUGACGCCUGUGGAGCAGGCUGGGAUGGCUGACUAGAAACCAUCGUUUAGUUUUCACUGUGCUAACCAGUUGCACUGCUCGAAUCUCGCGAGUCUAACCUCAGGAGUCUCCAGAGAGAGGAGUCUUGGAAUAAGCCUUCCUCGUUCUGAGCUCUACAGGACCUCGCUGUAGAGCUUCCUUUCUGGUGUUUUCACCACGGUGCUCUGGCUUCUCUUCCUGAAUACAUACAUCAUCUUGGGAAAGGACCAUGCUGAUUCAGUGACAGAGUAGGAUAAUUCUUUGACAAGAGAUUUCAUCAACACUUGGGAGCAGGUGACUGAGUCCCAGAUGAAGGGACAUUAUCCUCCUGUGAAUUUAUAACUGCUCAGGGAGCCUGCAGUCGUGAGAGGAAGGAGCCAAGGACAUGUGCAGCCGGAGUGGACAUCCUGGCCCUGUGCUGGGUAGCCUGCCCCUAUGUGGAAACAUUGCUUCUUUGUUCCUUUAUACUUGACUGUGGUCACUGUUCAGGACCAGGCAGCAGCCUUGCUCUCUUUCUGUCUGACAGAGGUGUGAUGGCCAGAGCUCAGUGUGUAGCUCUGCUUUUAACUUUGCUUUUCGGGGAGGAGGGGCUGUGAGGAGGACGGUCUGUGUUGGCUUGUCUAUUCCACAUACAGUCUAUUUAGCAUGACUCUAGGCAUCCACAGACCUUACAUCUCAGUUUCUCACUGAUUUUAUACUAGCCUUUUGACAAUGGUUUUUGUCUAUGUGUUGCUGGGAACUGAAUAGAGAGCCUUGUACAUGAUAACUGCUUGGCCACCCAGCUACAUCAGCUGUCCAUAGGGAGGCUUUUGUUUUGUUUUGUCUUUUGGUACAAGUGUCACAAUAUUAUGUGGAUACAGACCUCUUAACCCUCCCUCCACACCUAUGGUUGAUCUGAAGUUCUAAUUUUAGUUGGCAUCCUGUUUGUCUGGAAAUCCCACCCAUACCCACAGUCAGGGCUGGUCCUUGUUGAACUGAGGCAAUGUAAUAAAGGAACUGUUCAGGGACUCUGCCCAAAUCUAAGGACAUUUUUUUUUCAGGUGACUACAGGCUUUGUUCUUCAAGCCUCCCUACAAUCAGCCCGCAUAUUUGUUCUCUCUACUACAAUGGAAAGAUUAGAAAUUGUUAAUGUCCUGAACGGCUGCCGAUUUCUUACUACUCUCAUCUACCAAUUGUGAUCUCUGUAGGCUUCUGAGAUGCCAUUAGGUGAAGAGAUGGAUAUGAUAGACGGGAAGAAUGUCAAGGGUGCUCACAUUAUCACUGGAUGAGCAAAGUUUUGCUACUCCUAACUCAGCUUCCUAGGCAUCAGUGGCUACUCAUCUGGUAGCACCCCUUUUAAAAACAGAAUGGGUUAUGUGGUUGGAUAAAUGAGGCCAUCUUAGGCUAGAGCUGAUUUAAUAGACUGAGAAGAAUGGCUUUCCGCAAGCUAUCUCCGUGGAGAUUUAUUUUCUCAUCCCAUCAUUCUAUUAUUUGUUUACUACCUUAUCACUGAGUUCAUCUACUUCCCUAGAAAGUUAAUAAACCAAAAAAAGAUAAAUGCCCUAUGCAAAACUACUCAUAAAUAGAAAAAUAAUCAUAGCGACAUUUAUAGAGCAUUUACUAUGUGCCAGAAAACAGCUAUGUGUAUUACAUAUACUACCUCAUGGAGUCUCUGUGCUUAAGGAAAACCUACUGACUCUCCUUUGCAUGAGUACACAUGUAACCAGGAAGGGAAAGAGCCAUCAUAAGCCUCACAGUGUGCUCUGAAUGCACUGCCCUUCUGUGUCUUGCCAUCCUGAAGCCCUUUACUUGUAAGUAUUCAUUUUUAAAACAGGCUGGAUUGUGUGGAGCUGGUCUUCUGUUCUCUGCUCCUUUAAUUCCCUCCGAGAAAAAGCAAGGUGGGUUUGCGGUUGUGAUUGUGCUUCUAAUUUCCAUUAGCCUUAUCAGUAUGCAUACCGCCCUGCAGCCUCAGCCCCCACUGUGAUCACAGGCAGCUUUCUCCUUCCUCCUCUUGCUAAAGAUUUGCUUCCCUCUGCAAAUAUUUUCUUAUCCACUCACCAACUCACAAAGCAUCAAGUGAUAACUAUAUGACCUAGAAAAAAAUUACUAAAACGUCGAAUUCAGGAGGGAACGCAGCUAGAGAUGGCAGAGAGCCAGUUCCCAAAGCAAGGUGGAUCAAAGGAAAUCCUUAAUACCUGCUCAGGGCUGGCACGGUCAUAACUGUGUGGCUUAUUUCCCUUGUGCACUGGUGGCUCGUGUAAAUUGCAGGAGAGUCCCUGCGAAGUCCCAAGAGGUAUAGACAUGCCCUUCAGUAUCUCCAGCGAGUUCCACUGGAGGUAACAAAACUCUGAUGCAGUAACUACACAAGGUAUCAUUGAUACCUCAGCUGGAAAUAAGACAGAGGAUUUAACUCAUGCCACCGCACUGUCCUCAGGAUCAUCAUAAGGGGCUCUGUUCGUUCUUUGUCUUCAUGACAAAAAUGAUGGGUCCCCAAGAGUAUUGCUAUGGUGGUUAGUCUGUUUGCCUACACUGUCUACCUGAAUAAAUCUGAAAUCACCUAGAAUAUACACCUCAGGGAAACUCAUGCUGGGUGAGUGUAUGGUAGGUGUGCUGUCCCAUAGGCUAGGGUCACCCCCAACUCACCCCCAGUGGACAAAAAAACAGAAAGAAGAAAGCCAACACUUCCUUUCUCUUGACUUCUGCUUUGCCCACAAAUAAGGUGUCCCAGGUUUACAUGCCAGACAUGAUAAACUCUGCCAUCAGAGACUUUAUUCUCUCACACCAGAAGCAAAAUAAAUAC
This is a long non-coding RNA of Psammomys obesus (fat sand rat), 3266 nucleotides long. RefSeq lists it as uncharacterized. The record is from RefSeq and is a predicted model, not a curated record. The transcript has 4 exons. Lineage: Eukaryota; Metazoa; Chordata; Mammalia; Rodentia; Muridae.